GAACUUGUAGUUUGGCGGUGCGCUCUCCUUCUACAGUAUCUGAAGUAAACUCGAGCUGCGAAGACUACACAAAGCAGGAUUUUUUGAUUGAGCUGGCAGCUUUUUAAAGACUUGAGAGUUGAGUUGAGGAUGAAGAUAUGUAUGAAAAUAUUCAUCAUCCUUCUAUCAGUCAUAGUACUUCAUAUAGCAUACACUGAUAGUUGGGGCGUACGACUUCCUAGUCCUGGACGUAUAGUCAGGAGCACAGUGAGAGU
This is a long non-coding RNA of Dendronephthya gigantea, 254 nucleotides long. RefSeq lists it as uncharacterized. NCBI's taxonomy places the organism in Eukaryota, Metazoa, Cnidaria, Anthozoa, Malacalcyonacea, Nephtheidae. The transcript is spliced from 3 exons. The record is from RefSeq and is a predicted model, not a curated record.